RNAcentral lists this long non-coding RNA (345 nucleotides) under Lathyrus oleraceus (garden pea). RNAcentral describes it as "Pisum sativum (pea) long non-coding RNA (PSAT_LNC007537)". The record is from RNAcentral. Lineage: Eukaryota; Viridiplantae; Streptophyta; Magnoliopsida; Fabales; Fabaceae.
UCAACACAAGGGAAAGACUUGAGUUACUUCCAAUAGGGGUCUAUUCGUCAGUCAAAGCGUUAAUCUUGAAGGAGCAAAGGUUUGUUCAUGAGCUGUCAUGCUCGCUAGGCGAAGCCCACGUUUUUUGAAAAAAGAAAAUGAAAAAAAAAAUGAAAAAAAAAAAGAAGAAACGGAAAACGAAAGAAAAAAAAAACGGAAAACGGAAAAGAAAAAGAAAAAAAAAGAAAAAAAAAAGAAAAAAUAAAUAAAUAAAUAAAUAAAAGAAAAAAUCUUGGACUUGUACCUCUCUCAUUUGAGCCCACAGGGCCACAAAAAUCAGGUUAUAAAUUCAGAGUUUCAUGAAAC